GAUGAAGAACGCAGCGAAAUGCGAUACGUAAUGUGAAUUGCAGAAUUCAGUGAAUCAUCGAGUCUUUGAACGCACAUUGCGCCCCCUGGUAUUCCGGGGGGCAUGCCUGUCCGAGCGUCAUUGCUGCCCUCAAGCCCGGCUUGUGUGUUGGGUCUCGUCCCCCUUCCCGGGGGGACGGGCCCGAAAGGCAGCGGCGGCACCGUGUCCGGUCCUCGAGCGUAUGGGGCUUUGUCACCCGCUCUGUAGGCCCGGCCGGCGCUUGCCGAUCAACCAAAACUUUUUUCCAGGUUGACCUCGGAUCAGGUAGGAAUACCCGCUGAACUUAAGCAUAUCAAUAAGCGGAGGA
RNAcentral lists this unclassified non-coding RNA (346 nucleotides) under soil metagenome. RNAcentral's name for it is "partial contains 5.8S ribosomal RNA, internal transcribed spacer 2, and large subunit ribosomal RNA". The stretch from base 1 to 120 matches the Rfam family "5.8S ribosomal RNA", at positions 35 to 154 of the family's 154-position model. The record is from RNAcentral.